CCUACGUGUGGCAUCAGUGAGGAAUAUUGGUCAAUGGACGAGAGUCUGAACCCGCCAAGUAGCGUGAAGGAUGACUGCCCUAUUGGUUGUAAACUUCUUUUAUAAAGGAAUACAACGAGGCACGUGUGCCUUUUUGCAUUUACUUUAUGAAUACGGAUCGUCUACCUCCGUGCCAGCAGCCGCGGUAAUACGGAGGCUCCGAGCGUUAUCCGGAUUUCUUGGGUUUAAAGGUAGCGGAGAUGGGUUGUUAAGUCAGUUGUGAAAGUUUGCGGCUCAACCGUAAAAUUGCAAUUGAUACUGGCAGUCUUGAGUACAGUUGAGGUAGGCGGAAUUCGUGGUGUAGCGGUGAAAUGCUUAGAUAUCACGAAGAACCCCGAUUGCGAAGGCAGCUUACUAAACUGUGACUGACAUUGAUGCUCGAAAGUGUGGGUAUCAAACAGGAUUAGAUACCCGUGGAGUC
This 460-nucleotide ribosomal RNA is filed under the name uncultured bacterium. RNAcentral's name for it is "partial 16S ribosomal RNA". It matches the Rfam family "Bacterial small subunit ribosomal RNA", at positions 338 to 795 of the family's 1533-position model. The record is from RNAcentral.